Molecule: long non-coding RNA, 450 nt
Organism: Brassica napus (rape)
Lineage: Eukaryota; Viridiplantae; Streptophyta; Magnoliopsida; Brassicales; Brassicaceae
Exons: 2
Source: RefSeq, a predicted model, not a curated record
AUCACUUUCUAUACAAAAGAAAAAUUCUCAAAGAUAUGGAGAACACAAAAAUGGUCCUAUUGGUAGCGAUGAUGUUAAUAAUUGGAAACCAUCUAACUGAAUCGGUGUACGCGUCUGAUCCAAUAUCGCGUGCAUUAUGCUUUUUUAAAUGUGAUCAACUGUGUAUUAUUGAUCCACGUAAUCUUCUAAACUUUAAAAAAUGUGACCUCAAAUGUGCUAAGGAAUGUGGUAUGCCUGAUUAUGUAAAACAAGACACAAUCAACCAAAUUGACUAUUUCUGCCAAGUGGGUUGUGUUAAUUAUCGUUGUGCUCUUACUGAAAAUCAAAAUAUGGAGAAAGCUGCGGUCUGUGUGAAUUCAUGUUCAGAAUUUUGUAAUAAAAACAACUAAAACGAUAGAAUAUGUUAUAUUAUUAACAAUUUAAUGUUUAAUGAAUCAAAUCAAUUUAAUA